UACAGCCUAAUGGAUGUCCUGCUUGAG
Molecule: non-coding RNA, 27 nt
Filed under: Homo sapiens (human)
Lineage: Eukaryota; Metazoa; Chordata; Mammalia; Primates; Hominidae
Source: RNAcentral